RNAcentral lists this long non-coding RNA (1928 nucleotides) under Helianthus annuus (common sunflower). Lineage: Eukaryota; Viridiplantae; Streptophyta; Magnoliopsida; Asterales; Asteraceae. The record is from RNAcentral.
GGCCAAAAUCUAUUUCAUUGCAUCCAAAUUUUGAAACCCGCUCCUCAUCCCAAACUUUCAUUAUCCUGCCUUAUUUACAUUUGCAAGGAGAGAACCAGAGUAAAAAAGUGAGUUAGAGAUAGGACCUGAUCGGGGGCUAGGGUUUCGAGGUUAUUUUCUUAGGCCACGACAAGGUAAUAUUAGGGAUGCGUGUGAAGGCUGACACAUGGGCGACUAUAAGGUUUGGACCACCCGGUAGGUUCAGUUCCCAAAUGGUGCAUUUGCAAGCAAGUUACCACGAAGCUGCUUCAUCGAACCAAAGAUGGAUAGACAAUGGUUGUACGAGAAUGUGACAAAGUGUGUGCUUUGAGAUGUCUAUUGGUGGAUACAAUAGGCGAGGACUACCAGUUUACAUUAAAUUUAUUGAAUUUUAAAACGAACAAUAUAUAUUCACUAUCUCUUUUCAUUGCCUACUUAGCUUUUUUUUUUUUUUUUUUUUUUUUUUUUUUUUUUUUUUACAAAAUAAGCUUAACUUGGUUUGGUUUACUUUUUUAAGCUUAUGCUUAUUAGCUUAUAUAAGCUAAUUUGAAGAUGCUUCUUUAGCUUAUUUGAAGAAUGAUAGAAAAUAAGCUAUAAGCUAAUCCAAACACUUAAAAAGAGCUUAUCAAAUAAUAGAAAAUAAGCUAUAAGCUAGUUUAAGAUAUAAGCAUAACCCAAAAAAUAAAUGCUAGGCCAAACACCCCCUAAUUCAAGUAUAGCCUUGAUUGAACUGUUUUGCAUGAAAUUAACCACUCUUGGCAGAAUGUUAUACUAAAGGUUAUGCGUUUGUGACAUACAAUGUAUGUAUAGAUUGGCAGAAGAAUGUACUGAGAUGAGGUUCUCGGCUCCAAGAAUUCUUGCUUUCAAAGCAAUAUUUUAAUUAGAUUUUCUAUAAUUCAAAUAAAUAUAAAAUCUAUUGACACAUGAUUGGUAUGUAAUAGGAGGGAAACUCUCAGGCAUGGCAUUUUAAACAUGAUAUACAACUUAAAGUAGCAUAACGUUGAAAAUAUUAACAAUGGUUACUUCAUUUAGAAGGGAUUAUGGCUCUGUUGAAAUGAAAAUAUGGUAUGGUAAGGAAAUUUGUUAUCUAGGGUUUGUUUUAGUCUGCAGAUAUGGCAAGUAAAAACGUUUUUUCAAAAUGUUGUUUUGUUCUUUAAUUCGGCGUAUGCAUGUUUCUUAUAUGUAUUCAAAGUCGGUUGUUUUGUGAGGAUGUGAGGAUGACGAUCAGCUUCAAGCCUACUACUCCAGUUGAAGAAGUGAGGCUAUAUGUACAAAAGGCAUCAUAACCGACUCUUAAACAAGAGCUUGAACGGUUGAUGGUAUGAUUUGCAAUGGUCGGCUCCUAAAAUUUUGAGGCAAGAUAUGAGGUGCCCAGGAUUUGAACAAGGAUAUGUGCACGUUCAGGGUAUCCAGCAGACCCUAACGACCCAGGAUAUCAGCCUUUGGGAGCCUUUGGGAGCCUUUGGGAGCCUUUGUUGUGGUGGCUUACUUACCAAAGUCAAAAGCAAACAAAAAGAAGAGCCUAUUGGGGAACUCCAAAGACACCAGUGAGGAUGAUUCAGUCUCUGAGAUCAAGCAUUUUAUUGAAAGCUCAGUUGCAUCUAGCUAAGCUGGAUCAGUUAAGGCAAGCAGCCAGAACAGGGGUUGAAGUGUGUUUUAAGAAGGAAUGUGUGGAGCUAGGGACAAAAGUGGAAUUGCACAUACGUCAAGCAGAGACAAACAGAAUGAGAAUCUUGAAGUGGAAUUGCACCAACGGAAAUCGCCCUGCUCGAUUGGGCCAUCAACCUGAUGGCUGGCUGAUGUCGUCCAAUACGAGCAUCUCAACAUUGAUGAGUGAAAGCGAUUUAGUAGAUUCUAUAACUCAUUAGUAACAUAUAAACACUUUUAGUUUUGUUUGUUUUAGUAUUUAA